This 492-nucleotide ribosomal RNA is filed under the name uncultured bacterium. RNAcentral describes it as "partial 16S ribosomal RNA". It matches the Rfam family "Bacterial small subunit ribosomal RNA", at positions 29 to 507 of the family's 1533-position model. The record is from RNAcentral.
AGUGAACGCUGGCGGUAGGCCUAACACAUGCAAGUCGAACGGCAGCACAGUAAGAGCUUGCUCUUACGGGUGGCGAGUGGCGGACGGGUGAGGAAUACAUCGGAAUCUACUUUUUCGUGGGGGAUAACGUAGGGAAACUUACGCUAAUACCGCAUACGACCUACGGGUGAAAGCAGGGGAUCUUCGGACCUUGCGCGAUUGAAUGAGCCGAUGUCGGAUUAGCUAGUUGGCGGGGUAAAGGCCCACCAAGGCGACGAUCCGUAGCUGGUCUGAGAGGAUGAUCAGCCACACUAGAACUGAGACACGGUCCAGACUCCUACGGGAGGCAGCAGUGGGGAAUAUUGGACAAUGGGCGCAAGCCUGAUCCAGCCAUACCGCGUGGGUGAAGAAGGCCUUCGGGUUGUAAAGCCCUUUUGUUGGGAAAGAAAAGCAGCAGGUGAAUACCCCGCUGUUCUGACGGUACCCAAAGAAUAAGCACCGGCUAACUUCGUG